GAGUCCCCCUCGGGCCGACCCGGACCACAGCCACUUCCGGUGUCGCCUCCGCGCCUCCCCAUGUCGCAGGCGCCGUGGUACUGUCCUCCUGCGGCUGCGCGGAGGCGGGACGCCGGCCGCGCUUUCCCAUCACCGCGCACGCAGGAAGAGGCGGGUCCCAGAGGGAAGACUGACCGGGAACUUCCAGGACCCCCGUUUAGGUGUCCGGGGCAGCCGCCUGUUCAAAAACAAAACAGGACACGACGUAAAAGUCAAGCCAGAUUUUAGAUAAAUUACAUUAUUUGACGAUCAUU
Molecule: long non-coding RNA, 293 nt
Filed under: Mus musculus (house mouse)
Lineage: Eukaryota; Metazoa; Chordata; Mammalia; Rodentia; Muridae
Description: long non-coding RNA chr11:113684023-113684316
Source: RNAcentral